This is a long non-coding RNA of Leptidea sinapis, 7200 nucleotides long. RefSeq lists it as uncharacterized. The transcript has 2 exons. The record is from RefSeq and is a predicted model, not a curated record. NCBI's taxonomy places the organism in Eukaryota, Metazoa, Arthropoda, Insecta, Lepidoptera, Pieridae.
GACUUCCGUUCCGCGCGUUAUUCGCCUCAGUUUGAACAGAGCUUUAAAUGUGAGGGGCGCCGCGGGGUGACGAAAGGAACCGGGUAUUAAUAAAUUAUCAAAAUUAUUUUAUUAAUAGAUAUGACGCAAACCGUUCGUUCUUUUUUCAAUUGGACGUAGUUCCUGACAAACGUUCCAAGCCACAAACAUCACAUUUUAAGGAAUUCGUGUUAACAGUUUAAUAAAUAUUAGAAAUAAAGAAAGAUUUUUUCUUUUGAAACUUAUAGUAUGUACAAAUACAAAAGAUAUAAAAUAAAAAUUAACUUAUGAUUAAUAAACAAUCAAAAAAGAAAAAGACUGAAACAUUUCUACUAAAUCCGAUUCAAAUUACAUACAUGCGUCAUGAUGUCAUUUAAACAGUGACACUGACAGUAGGGCUGCCAUUUUUUGUCAGUCCGUUAAUAUGUAUCACGUGACCAGUUUUGUGUUCUUAACUCAAUUUCUACAUGAUUGUGGUUUGGAACGUUUUUCUGGAAUUACGUCCAAUUUCAUUCUGGCCUGAAUAUUAUACGUAAGAAUCUCAUAUUCGAUAUGAUAAUAAGUACAUUUCUUAGAACCAUUUUUGCCGGAACUAGUAAUAUUUAUAUAAAACUAGUGGACCCGACAGACGUUAUCCUGUACACACGUGUUAAAUUUGAAAAAUCGGUCCAGACGUUAGGAGGAGAUCACGUAGGAGAUUUAUAUGUCGACUGUAUUGAGAAUCUAAACCAAUCUCAAAUUCACUGGAACCCUCUAAAAAAAAUCAUUAAAAUCGGUCCAGCCAUUUAGGAGGAGUUCAUUGUCAACACACGGACAGAAGAAUUAUAUAAUAUAAUACUAGCUGACCCAGCAAGCGUUGUAUUGCCGAUAUUAAAAUCGCGAUACAAAUGUAACUGUUGAUCGUAGAUGGGUGAAAAUUUGAAGUUGCAUGUAUUUUAUAUUUUGUAAUUUAAAAAAAAUGUCAAAAAAAUAAAAAAAAAUAAUUUGGCGUGGACCACCCUUAACAUUUAGGGGGAUGAAAAAUAAAUGUUGUCCGAUUCUCAGACCUACCCAAUAUGCACUCAAAAUUUCAUGAGAAUCGGUCAAGCCGUUUCGAAGGAGUUACACUUACAUUUAGCACUCGCCCAAUAAAAACUCCAGCAAAAAAGGAAAUAUAAGAACUUUAGACUGGUAAAUGAUAUGAUGAGAAAAUUAAGUAUUUUAUGAAGACAAUAACAUGAGGUCAGAAUCACACACGAUCUAGUUACGUGGUCUCACUUAACCAACGAUCGAUCGACUUACAGAUAAGUAUGUUACGCAACGUUACAUUACACGCUAACUUACUUUACUGAUAUACAUUCGUGUUGUUAUUUCGAUACCAUCUGAGAUAUUAUGUUAUUUACUGCAUGUGAGUGAAAUAGAAGAUAUUCUAUUAAAUUAAAAUUUUGUGUAUUUCAAAUUUUGGAAAUAGAAUUUAGUGGCUGAGGCUUCCUAGUAUAUUGUCUUAUGAUAUUUCAUUGGGAAUGUCUCGCAACAUCCUUAGCGGAUACUUUAUAAACAAUAUAGAAAUAAUCAGAAAUGAUUAAAAACAUAUUUCAAAAAAUCACACAAUUAAAUGAACCAAAGUUAAAGGCAUAGUCCAAAUGAUUGCGAAACUGAAGUGACAGUAGGCAGGGCAUAUAGUUCGACGGACAGAUGGCCGAUGGGGCAGUAAAGUCCUCGAAUGGCGACCACGUACCGGAAGACGCAUUGUUGGUAGGCUGCCCACAAGAUGGACAGACGAUCUGGUCAAGAUCGCCGGAAUACGUUGGAUGAGGGCAGCGCAGGACCGAAGGUUGUGGAAAUCUUUGUGGGAGGCCUUUGUCCAGCAGUGGACGUCUUCCGGCUAAUGACAAUCAAAAGAAAUUUGAAAACCUAUUAAUAUUUAUACUGUUCAGUUGGGAAUACUGGCUCUUUUACAUUACAAACUCAAGCUUUUCAACACUUUUUACAGAAUUUAUUAUUUAUUAUAUGGGUUAUUUACCAUAAUUCUAUGAUUUUUUAACUAACCCCGCUAUAGACAGACAAAUUUUGAUUUAUGCCAAAAUUUAUGGGCGAAGAUAAGAUACUGUGCUUCCGAACUUAACGCUUCCGCGUCUUAUGUCUUAUGACAGCCCGACUGGUGUUGCCACUACACUUACUUAUAGCGAAUUGUUAAUAAACCGUGGUUUGCUAUGUUCAGCUCUUCAGUUGUAGCGAGACUAGAGAUCAUAAGAAGAUUUGUGAUGUAUUAUUUCAGUUUUAUAUAUGCCAGUUUUACAUAGGCCAUAACUGGACACUUGAACAAGCAUACCAAGGUCUAUGAACGAAACGCCAUCCAGUGGUUCGAUUAGCGGUUACACCUGAAACAUAAUAUUUAAGCACAAUUAAUAAAUUUGCAUAUACUCAUAGAAGAGAAGGGAAAUCAGUUUAAAAUAGCGAAGUGUUCCGCACUUAUUUCAGUAGUUGAUAGUAAAAUCUAGCCGACGACACCGACAAUUUUCUCUGUUUGCCCAACUCUUGCAAAGGCCUUCCCCAUUUCUUUCAACUCUGUUCUGUCAAGCGUUUUGCUAGUUCAUGUUCUUCUAGCUACUGCCUUUAUUUCGUCUUCCCAUUUUCGAAACUGUCUACCUCGUCUUCUGUUUCUAUUUCUUAGAUAACAAUUUUAUAUGAAUUAAAGUGUAUUUAUUAUUUUAUAAAAAUAAUAAUAAUUAAAAUAAGGCUUUAUAGCUGUUACUUAUUUUUUUUCAUAUCCUUAACUAAUUCCUUUCGAUUUUUUUAACAGCUUGUCCUUCGACAUACGCCUCCUCCAAAGACUUCCACCUUUCUCUCUGUCUCUCUCGCCAUUCUCAUUCAUUCUGGGCCAGCCACUCCUUUAAGGUCAUCCUCCCAUCGAUUUAUUUGUCGCCCUUUGCUUCUUUUGCAUUCUCGUGGAUACCACUCUGCUAUGAUUUUUGUCCAUUUUUCGCUUUUGUCAAGUAUCAUAUUAUGUCCCGCCCAUUUCCACUUUAAUGUAUGGCAUACAGUUUUGACAUGUUUGAAUUCAGUUGUACCCUUAAUUUUUGUUACUUUUAUUUUAUCUGUUCUUUCUUUUAAAACAACACGUGGAAAAAAAUAUUAUUUUAUAUCAGUAUUAAUAUUAAUUAUAAUAAUAAUUCUGUUUCAUUUAUUAUGAAGAAAUACAAUAAAACGUUAACUUGGACCAUUUCAACAGAAUCGUUUAAUCUAUCCUUGGAAUUGUAUAUUCUGUAACAUAUUGUUAUUGAUAUUAUAAUGUGCUAUAUUGUAAUCAUAUUUGAAUCUCGAGACCAAACCGAACCAUUUUAGAGAAUUUAAAUCAUCGUGUAUUAGAAUUUUUAGAAAUGUUUAUACAUCUAUAUUCUAUACCUACUUAUACCUGUUCGAUGUUUCACUUAACUUUUGUACAAUAUUAUCUCUCCUUAGAUGUAACCUAGGGUUGCGAUAGUGCUAGUCUUUCAAAUAGUUUUUGAAGUUUUAAAAGGAAUUUUUAGAUCUGGUAUUUAUUUAUAUUUAAGUCGUGUAUUGAAUCUAAUUGUAACUCUGGUCACUAUCGUGGCCAUUAUUUUAUAUAGAUAUAAAUAUUUUGAUGUUUCUGACAAAUUUGGACAUUAGUGUCACUAAUUUCAUACUAAGUAUUUACAAACCGAUUAUUUGUGACCAUGGGUAUAUAGUUACUUUUUUUACUCGCAUGUUUGUCUUCUAGAUUUCAUUUCCUAUAUAUUUCAAGGCAAAAUGAUGUUUACAUAUUGAUAUUUUAAGCAUCUGUCAUUGAAGGCAUGUAGACAUAAUUAAAUUUAGGUUAAGGAUUGGUCUCCGCUGCCCUCCAACUAGAUACCGCACUACCUAAGAACAAUAGCUUUUUUCUUACGGCUACUAUUAGAUGCAUAUGUGCGUGGCAUCUUUCAAAUUUUGUAAUAUAUGCAACCUGGCAUUUUAGUUUCAAUUAUUAGCAAAGUUUAGUAAAACAUGUGCCACGUCAACAUCACACUUUCUUCGAGACUGGCUUGAGUAAGCCCACUUGGUCGUAGUUGCCACACUUUGUGACUACGCCUGCGGUAUCUAGUUGGAGCGCAGCGGACACCAAUCCUUAACCUAAGUAAUUAAAUAUAUUUUUAUUGCUCAAUCGCAAUGCGGGCAAAUUAACAACAACGCUAAAAUCUUUGUGAGGCAUUAGUAAAGGUAAUUUUGUUUUUGCCUUGUUGUAAUUUUGCUCUAUCCGUAGACUUCCCAUAUGUAGUGUCAAAAUAUUGCCAUUAGCAGUUAUUUUAGAGGAAACUAGUAGGAAUAAAAGCAUUGAUUAUGAUAGUGUUAGUUUAUAAUGUUAUAUUAGUGGUAUGAUAAACUGAGUAAUUAUACCUUUGUAUUACAAUGGACGUUUCUGGACUGCCUCUCUGGGUUGGUCGCUCAUGCCUGAGGACCGUGAUCAGCAUAAUGGUUGCAUCUAGAGCAGAGAGAGCGGACCGUGGAGAAUUUGGAUCAGUCUUUGAUUUGGUCAGUCCAUCUUCUUGGAGAACCACCGCGCGAUCUUAGCCUUCGGUAUUUCUGAACAGUGCUUACUCGAAAAACCAAUUGCUUCGAGUUUAUUUAUUAUCUUGAAUUAUGUUCCAGUAUCUCUGCUAGCUGGUACAGAGGCGACUCUUCCUCUCUCUGUUUCUCUUGGCAACGACAACCAUCGUUCAGAUUUGCAUUGGGAGAUCACGUUUGCGUUUUCCUUUGGAGUUUCUGUUUAAGGAUUGCUUCAGUAUGUGCAUGAAAUCACUUAGGAGUGUAUGGUUUCACCAGCUCAGUGUCUGUCGCUGUGGUUGCCAUACAAGUCUAAAUUUAUAUUUAUAAAGUAUGUAGCACAUAAAAAAACAAACUAUAUCUUUAACUAUUUUAGUGAACCAAGAUCGUGGUAUUAUGGUGAUUGAAAUGAAUUUAGAUCUUGUCAGACUUUUCUCGGAUUUUAAAUUCUAAUGUGAUUUCUGAGCGGAUUGUCUUAGUUCGAUCGUAUUAUCUAGAUCUAUCGUACAGAUGGUAUUAAAAGCAAUACCUAUAUUAAUAACUAUAUAUCCACCCGAAACCUAAUAACCUUCUUUGCCAAGGAAAGUGUUAAACUAAUUAGCUCGCUAAUAUGUCCGACUUAAUGAAAUAACAAUAUUUGAGUUUUUUGUAUGGAUAGUGCAAUUUCUUAGGAUUGUCACUAUUUAUAGUCUUACAAAUAAACUUGGUAUAACCUUGUUAAAAAUGAUUACAAAUAGAAAUUUUGCUUAAUAUUGCUUUAAUCGCACGUAUAACGUUUCCCGCGUUUAUUUGCAGGGCUACUUGACAUUUGGAAAACUUCAGAAUAAUCAUUGUAUUGACAGUGUUGUCAGAAUAUAGUCAACAUUUUGCAUAUUCUUGGUUUAUUCUCGGGUAUAUUUUUAUACCAAGUUUAUUUAUUUCUAUAGCUUAUUUUGUAACUUCUUGUGUGCGUACAUACGUACCUACCGUCUUAAUAAGAAUAUCAGUUUCAAAAACAAUACCGGAUGACUAAAUACAAUAUUAGAUAGAUACAGGGGCGUGCAUUGCCUUUCCAGCAAGGUAGGCACUGUAGAUACAAGUACCUACCUUAAUAAUAUAAUAUUUAGGUAUCGCACACAUAACGCGGAGAGGUUAAAGUUGUGAUUUAUUCUCGACAUGUUAAUUUUGUGGUUUUAAAAGUAAGUAAACUAAAACUUACUGGGUGGAUGUUCAAUAGAAAUUUUGGUAUAGAAAAAUGGAACUAAAUUUGCUAUCUUAUUACUUUACCAGUGGGAGUCUCCUUUGCACAGGAUGCCGAAUAGUUUAUGAGUACCAAAACGGCCCCUAUUUGUACCGCGAAGCAGUAAUGUGUAAACAUUACUGCGUUCCGGUCUGAAAGGCGUCGAAACAAGUGAAAUUACUUGGCAAAUGAGACUUAACAUCUUAUGUCUCAAGGUGACGAGCGCAAUUGUAGUGGCACUCAGAAUUUUUGGGUUUUUCAAGAAUCUGCAGCACUGCAUUGUAAUGGACAAGGCGUAUAAAUCUCCAUGAGCUAAACGUCGUGCUCGACCCGUCCCUUAUAUUCAUAAAAAAAUAACACCAAUGGUAUAUAUUCGUUUAGGUUCUUAUUAAAGUAGUCAUUGCCUAAGUACCUAUAAAAAAGCACGCCCCUGGGUAAAUAAUAGGCAAUUGCUGGCAACACUUAACCUGUAGUUGUCACAACGGAGUUUCGGUUCAAAGGUGAGUGUAAUAAUGUCGACAUUCGAUACAUGAACACAGAGCAUCCAUUGUUUCUCCGUGAUACGCAACGGCCAUAUUGUUCUCAAUAUAGGACACACAGGAGCUAACAUUUGUUAAUUAUAAAUGAAUAUUCAUUCACUCUGAAAUCUUAAUUUAAAUACAAUUGAAUAUAAAUUAACCUAGCUUUUAGCAUUUGUUUGCGAUUAGACUUAUUAAUAAAAAAAUUAGAAAAUUUAUUGAAGUAGGCGUUACUUUGCGGAAAUCCAUAAUUAUACAAAUGAUUUGAGUUUUCUUUAGUGUUAAUUCCGCCAAUUACGUCUUAAACAAUUUGACUUUAGACUUUGAGUCUCGUGCCAGAUUUUGGCGUGACAACACGUCCUUAGGAUGCCUCGUGUAGAGGCGAAACACGUGUCGAAUUGUUUGAAGACAAAUAUUGGUGGAAUUAACACUAAAGAAAACUCAAAUCAUUUGUAUAAUUAUACUUAUCAUAUAGGCACUGCUGAUCUGACCAAUGUUUUACUUUGGUUUAUAUUCCUAUAGAACCUCAUGAACUCGACCGCACUUGUGUAGAGGUUUUAAACUUCUUUUUCACUUGUACAGCCAUAUGAUAUCUUCUCGAGUAGGUCAGAAUAUUUAAAUUGAUUAAAUUUUGUAUAAAAUUAGUCUUCUAAAGUAUUUAAUCCUUAGAGGAAUUAGAGUUGAUCCUUACUGACCCUUGAUUGCUAGUGGCUCUUACCCAACCUGGCAGAUUGCGGGUUGAUUUUGACUUGUGGGACUGAAAUUGUCCAUGUGUACAAGUUACUCAAAGUCAAAGUCAAAAAAUUAUUUAUUCACUGUAAAACUUUAUAAGUUAUUUAGUGCAAGUCAGGAUGAAGAACAAAAGUUACACUAACAUUCAAAUGAGUAUAACAAUAUUCAUUAACAAAAAUUAGAACAUUAAUU